GGCGGCGUGCUUAACACAUGCAAGUCGAACGGAAAGGCCCUGCUUUUGUGGGGUGCUCGAGUGGCGAACGGGUGAGUAACACGUGAGUAACCUGCCCUUGACUUUGGGAUAACUUCAGGAAACUGGGGCUAAUACCGGAUAGGAGCUCCUGCUGCAUGGUGGGGGUUGGAAAGUUUCGGCGGUUGGGGAUGGACUCGCGGCUUAUCAGCUUGUUGGUGGGGUAGUGGCUUACCAAGGCUUUGACGGGUAGCCGGCCUGAGAGGGUGACCGGCCACAUUGGGACUGAGAUACGGCCCAGACUCCUACGGGAGGCAGCAGUGGGGAAUAUUGCACAAUGGGCGGAAGCCUGAUGCAGCAACGCCGCGUGCGGGAUGACGGCCUUCGGGUUGUAAACCGCUUUCGCCUGUGACGAAGCGUGAGUGACGGUAAUGGGUAAAGAAGCACCGGCUAACUACGUGCCAGCAGCCGCGGUGAUACGUAGGGUGCGAGCGUUGUCCGGAUUUAUUGGGCGUAAAGGGCUCGUAAGUGGUUGAUCGCGUCGGAAGUGUAAUCUUGGGGCUUAACCCUGAGCGUGCUUUCGAUACGGGUUGACUUGAGGAAGGUAGGGGAGAAUGGAAUUCCUGGUGGAGCGGUGGAAUGCGCAGAUAUCACGAGGAACACCAGUGGCGAAGGCGGUUCUCUGGGCCUUUCCUGACGCUGAGGAGCGAAAGCGUG
Molecule: ribosomal RNA, 714 nt
Filed under: uncultured organism
Description: SSU rRNA
Rfam family: Bacterial small subunit ribosomal RNA
Source: RNAcentral